This is a long non-coding RNA of Mobula hypostoma (lesser devil ray), 251 nucleotides long. RefSeq lists it as uncharacterized. NCBI's taxonomy places the organism in Eukaryota, Metazoa, Chordata, Chondrichthyes, Myliobatiformes, Myliobatidae. The record is from RefSeq and is a predicted model, not a curated record. The transcript is spliced from 3 exons.
GGGCGUUGGAAUUGAUUUCCUCCCCGAGUCUGGGCAUGGUGAAGAAAGCUAAACACGACACACCCGUUGGAAAACUGUCGGACUCACUGAGCAGAGGAGCGCUGCUGAAAAGGGUCUUUUGACUAGAGAGGCAACCAGUAUUUUCUGUUACAACUGUGGAGAGGACGGAUAUCUCAAGCAAAACUGUGAGGGACAGGAAAAUCUUCAGAAAGGAGUAAGACUCUGCUGUGUCAAGACCAAAUGAAGCUGGU